AACGAACGCUGGCGGCAUGCCUAACACAUGCAAGUCGAACGAAACCUUCGGGUCUAGGGGCGCACGGGGGCGUAACGCGUGGGAACCUGCCCUUAGGUUCGGUAUAACUCCCCGAGAGGGAUGCUAAUACCGGUGAGUGUCUUCCGACCAAAGAUUUAUCGCCUUUGGAUGGGCGCGCGUUGGAUUAGCUGGUUGGGAGGGUACAAGCAUACCAAGGCGAGGAUGCAUAGCUGGUCGGAGAGGAUGAUCAGCUACACUGGGAAUGAGACACGGCCCAGUAUCGUACGCAAGGGAGGAGUGGGGAAUAUUGUAGGCUGGGGGAUAGCCUGACCACGCAACGCGGCGUAAGAGAUGAAGGGCGUAGGGUUGUAAAGCUCUUUUACCCGAGAUGAUAAUGACAGUACCGGGAGAAGAAGCACCGGCUAACUCCGUG
This 433-nucleotide ribosomal RNA is filed under the name uncultured bacterium. RNAcentral describes it as "partial 16S ribosomal RNA". It matches the Rfam family "Bacterial small subunit ribosomal RNA", at positions 29 to 507 of the family's 1533-position model. The record is from RNAcentral.